Molecule: long non-coding RNA, 446 nt
Organism: Lolium rigidum
Lineage: Eukaryota; Viridiplantae; Streptophyta; Magnoliopsida; Poales; Poaceae
Exons: 3
Source: RefSeq, a predicted model, not a curated record
GAACUCGUGCAGGUCACAACUCCUGGAAGCGGGGCGGCGGAGGUGGGAGGCCCUACGAACGCACGUCAUCCUCCUCCCGACUCCCAGGAACAAGUGACGCCGGCGAGGACGCUCCGCUCGUGCGGAUUGGCUGUGUCACAAGCCUCCUCGAGCGGCCCAAGUGCGGCUUGCUGUGUCGAAGCCCCUCUCCACCUCGCUCAGGACUGGUGGGUGUGCCUGUUUACCGACAAGGAACAGAGGCCAACCUACAGAAAUAACCAAGAAUGCAGUGGAAGAGGAAAAUAAAUAAUAUUGAUGUGAAUGUAGUGGAUACUGCUGGAAGAUUGCAGAAUAUACACAUUGGACGCCAGAAAUCAACAAAAAGAGUGAGAUUAUGAAAUACCUUCAGAUAAAGUGGUCAAAUGUGAUUGUCUAUUUGCAUUACGCCGAGGAUUGGUAUCUCCAGG